CUGAAUAUUGAAGACCUGAGUAUUUUUAGCAAAGGUUUUUUGAAACAAACCAGUGUGAUCCAAUAAGGACUUAGAUAACUACAGUUUUUUGUAGAAAGCUAUAGGUCUUUUAGUAGGCUAGAGGGAUACAUGGGUAUAAAACAUACAUUAUGUUCAUUUUUCAAGAGUAUUCACAAUAUAAUUAAUUAUGAUUUCUUAAACAGGUUCCAGCAACAGAUAGAAAUGCUUUAAGUUCACUCUGGGGAAAGCUGGCCUCUGAAAUCUUAAUGCAGAAUUGGGAUGCAGCCAUGGAAGACCUUACACGGUUAAAAGAGACCAUAGAUAAUAAUUCUGUGAGUUCUCCACUUCAGUCUCUUCAGCAGAGAACAUGGCUCAUUCACUGGUCUCUGUUUGUUUUCUUCAAUCACCCCAAAGGUCGCGAUAAUAUUAUUGACCUCUUCCUUUAUCAGCCACAGUAAGUUAUUUCACUGUGUAAUUUUGGCUUUGUUUAGAUAAAAUUACGUGGAGUUGUUUAAAAUUGAAAUAUACUUUUCUCUAUCAUUUG
This 544-nucleotide small RNA is filed under the name Pan troglodytes (chimpanzee). RNAcentral's name for it is "retained intron". The record is from RNAcentral. Lineage: Eukaryota; Metazoa; Chordata; Mammalia; Primates; Hominidae.